UACGGGGGGGGCAAGCGUUGUUCGGAAUUACUGGGCGUAAAGGGCGCGUAGGCGGCCAUCUAAGUCAGACGUGAAAUCCCCCGGCUCAACCUGGGAACUGCGUCUGAUACUGGACGGCUUGAGUUUGGGAGAGGGAUGUAGAAUUCCAGGUGUAGCGGUGAAAUGCGUAGAUAUCUGGAGGAAUACCGGUGGCGAAGGCGGCAUCCUGGACCAAUACUGACGCUGAGGCGCGAAAGCUAGGGGAGCAAACGGG
RNAcentral lists this ribosomal RNA (253 nucleotides) under uncultured bacterium. RNAcentral's name for it is "partial 16S ribosomal RNA". It matches the Rfam family "Bacterial small subunit ribosomal RNA", at positions 524 to 776 of the family's 1533-position model. The record is from RNAcentral.